AACGAACGCUGGCGGCAUGCCUAACACAUGCAAGUCGAACGAGACCUUCGGGUCUAGUGGCGCACGGGUGCGUAACGCGUGGGAACCUGCCCUUAGGUUCGGAAUAACUCCCCGAAAGGGGUGCUAAUACCGGAUAAUGUCUUCGGACCAAAGAUUUAUCGCCUUUGGAUGGGCCCGCGUUGGAUUAGCUAGUUGGUAGGGUAAAAGCCUUCCAAGGCGACGAUCCAUAGCUGGUCUGAGAGGAUGAUCAGCCACACUGGGACUGAGACACGGCCCAGACUCCUACGGGAGGCAGCAGUGGGGAAUAUUGGACAAUGGGCGAAAGCCUGAUCCAGCAAUGCCGCGUGAGUGAUGAAGGCCUUAGGGUUGUAAAGCUCUUUUACCCGGGAUGAUAAUGACAGUACCGGGAGAAUAAGCUCCGACUAACUCCGUG
This 433-nucleotide ribosomal RNA is filed under the name uncultured bacterium. Its description in RNAcentral is "partial 16S ribosomal RNA". It matches the Rfam family "Bacterial small subunit ribosomal RNA", at positions 29 to 507 of the family's 1533-position model. The record is from RNAcentral.